Molecule: transfer RNA, 47 nt
Filed under: Erythranthe guttata (spotted monkey flower)
Lineage: Eukaryota; Viridiplantae; Streptophyta; Magnoliopsida; Lamiales; Phrymaceae
Description: partial tRNA-Leu
Source: RNAcentral
AAAAUCCGUGACUUUAAAAAUCGUGAGGGUUCAAGUCCCUNUNUCCC